RNAcentral lists this ribosomal RNA (107 nucleotides) under Pteropus alecto (black flying fox). The record is from RNAcentral. Lineage: Eukaryota; Metazoa; Chordata; Mammalia; Chiroptera; Pteropodidae.
GUCUAUGGCCAUGCUACCCUGAACAAGCCGGAUCUCAUCUGAUCUCAGAAGCUAAGCAGGGUCGGACCUGGUUAGGACUUGCCUAGGAAGACCAGAUGCUGUAGGCU